UUGAAACAUUGGUUCCCAUAUGAUCACCAAAGUUAAGCAACUUUGAAUCUGAUCAGUACCUAGAUGGGUGACUGCUUGGGAAUACCUGGUGCUGUAA
This 97-nucleotide ribosomal RNA is filed under the name Acanthosepion pharaonis. The record is from RNAcentral. Lineage: Eukaryota; Metazoa; Mollusca; Cephalopoda; Sepiida; Sepiidae.